UGUGUAAAAACGAAGUGUUAAA
This 22-nucleotide microRNA is filed under the name Drosophila virilis. RNAcentral's name for it is "dvi-miR-9709-3p". Lineage: Eukaryota; Metazoa; Arthropoda; Insecta; Diptera; Drosophilidae. The record is from miRBase by way of RNAcentral.